CAUGCUAGACGUAGUUUGAUCCUGGCUCAGAACGAACGCUGGCGGCAGGCUUAACACAUGCAAGUCGAACGCUCCCUUCGGGGAGAGUGGCAGACGGGUGAGUAACGCGUGGGAAUCUACCCAUCCCUACGGAACAACUCCGGGAAACUGGAGCUAAUACCGUAUACGCCCUUCGGGGGAAAGAUUUAUCGGGGAUGGAUGAGCCCGCGUUGGAUUAGCUAGUUGGUGGGGUAAUGGCCUACCAAGGCGACGAUCCAUAGCUGGUCUGAGAGGAUGAUCAGCCACACUGGGACUGAGACACGGCCCAGACUCCUACGGGAGGCAGCAGUGGGGAAUAUUGGACAAUGGGCGCAAGCCUGAUCCAGCCAUGCCGCGUGAGUGAUGAAGGCCCUAGGGUUGUAAAGCUCUUUCAACGGUGAAGAUAAUGACGGUAGCCGUAGAAGAAGCCCCGGCUAACUUCGUG
Molecule: ribosomal RNA, 463 nt
Filed under: uncultured bacterium
Lineage: Bacteria
Description: bacterial SSU rRNA
Rfam family: Bacterial small subunit ribosomal RNA
Source: RNAcentral